CCCAUGGUCUGGGCUCCCAACCAGCAUGCACAGGGCCGUGGUGCCCCUGAGGGCCGCUGAGGUCAGCGAACACCCCACCAAGGGCUCUGUCCCCUGAACGUGCCUCCCCCCACAGCACCUUGCACGGCUGAGACACCAGGAAAGGAGCCCUGGGGAUUUGGGGAAAGAGAAAUUGAAUUCCUGCCUCACAGGGUGUGGGAGAGAUCCAACCCCAAGGGCUGAAGACACAUGCAAAGGCACAGCCUUCCAGGACGGGCAGCCCAUGUGGGGAGAAGGGUGGACUCAUGCUCGACGACCUAGAACAACAGACACACCAGCAGCUUCCUGACCAAGGUACCCCGAGGACCAUGGCUGACCUUGCCGUCAAGGGCCCAGGCCAGGCCACGCCCUCCGUGGCGGGUGGCCCCCAGCUUGUGGCGUUGCUCUUGAACACUGGAAAGCACUCUGAUGGCUAAUUUUUGGAAGAUUCCUGUCUUUAUUCUUCUGGGAAGUUCCCAGGCUCCUGGCGCCCAUCAUCCCAGCACUGCAGGGUGGGCCUCCCUGCGCAAGUCCGUUUCAGUGGCCGAGCUGCUCAGCCCUCGCCGCGCCUUCCAGCACCUCGGGCAGGGCUUAAAACAAAAGCCAGGAAGCAGAAUGCGGGAUGGUGCCCUUCUGUGCUCCACACAGGCUAGAACUUCCCCCUGGGUCCCUGUCGGAGAAGGCAGCCCACCAGCCCCUCAUCUGGUUCCUCCAACCUCUGUCUCCCGUGCAGGAGGCUGUUCGCUCCCAUCUUAGAGUCGGUACCAGUCUGCCGGGCGGGCUCGUGGGGGGACAGGCAUCCGCGUCCUCCAGACUCUGCCUGCGCAUCACUGACCCCCAGCACAGCCCAGUCAGCCCCCUCCUGCAAAGAGCAUGGGGCCUCCGGCACGCGGAAGGUUCUGUCCCGACGAAGCCUUCCUUGUCAGGAUGAAAGCCUGGUUUUCCCGGCCCAGAGACCCUCUGUUUUAAAGAAAGAAGCUGUAGAAAGAAGCGCAGGGCUUCCACGAGCACGAGAGGGAGGGCCUGGCUGUGCAGCAGGGACCCCUGACAGACUCUGGCUCAAGCCUGUACUGCAUUGCCCUGCUGUGUGGAGCUGCCUGGCUGGAGUAGUCCCUCUGUUUGCAAGAUUUUAAGUAUUCUCUAUACCCAACAUGGAGGACUCGAACUCACAACCCCAAGAUCGAGAGCCACACACCGCUGAGCCAGCCAGGAGCCCCUUGGUAUUCAUUUUUUAAAACUAUUUCUCCCUAGUUUUACUGAGAUUCACUUGUUACUAUUCACUUUAAGUGUAGGAUCUGAAAGGGGCAUCUGGGUGGCUCAGUCGGUUAAGCAUCCGUCUUCAGCUCAGGUCAUGAUCUCACGAUUCGUGGG
This is a long non-coding RNA of Hyaena hyaena (striped hyena), 1389 nucleotides long. RefSeq lists it as uncharacterized. The record is from RefSeq and is a predicted model, not a curated record. Lineage: Eukaryota; Metazoa; Chordata; Mammalia; Carnivora; Hyaenidae. The transcript is spliced from 3 exons.